This 178-nucleotide unclassified non-coding RNA is filed under the name uncultured Cladophialophora. Its description in RNAcentral is "sequence contains ITS2". Lineage: Eukaryota; Fungi; Ascomycota; Eurotiomycetes; Chaetothyriales; Herpotrichiellaceae. The record is from RNAcentral.
UCACCCCUCAAGCCUUGUGCUUGGUGUUGGACGGCUUGGUCGCGCCUCGGCUCGACCCCUCCCAAAAACAAUGACGGCGGCCUGUGGUUCCCCCGGUACACUGAGCUUUUUACUGAGCACGUACCGGAUAAGGGCGCCCGGGGCACGGUCCUCUCCUUUUUAAUAAGGAAACUUUCAA